This 459-nucleotide ribosomal RNA is filed under the name uncultured bacterium. RNAcentral's name for it is "partial 16S ribosomal RNA". It matches the Rfam family "Bacterial small subunit ribosomal RNA", at positions 338 to 795 of the family's 1533-position model. The record is from RNAcentral.
CCUACGGGUGGCAGCAGUGAGGCAUCUUGGUCAAUGGACGCAAGUCUGAACCAGCCAUGCCGCGUUCAGGAAGACGGCUCCAUGAGUUGUAAACUGCUUUUGUACGAGGAGAAACGCCGAUACGCGUAUCUUUCUUAAAGUAUCGUACGAAUAAGGAUCGGCUAACUCCGUGCCAGCAGCCGCGGUAAUACGGAGGAUUCAAGCGUUAUCCGGAUUUAUUGGGUUUAAAGGGUGCGCAGGCGGAAGAUCAAGUCAGCGGUAAAAUUGAGAGGCUCAACCUCUUCGACCCGUUGAAACUGGUUUUCUUGAGUGAGUGAGAAGUAUGCGGAAUGCGUGGUGUAGCGGUGAAAUGCAUAGAUAUCACGCAGAACUCCGAUUGCGAAGGCAGCAUACCGGCGCUCAACUGACGCUCAUGCACGAAAGUGUGGGUAUCGAACAGGAUUAGAUACCCUGGUAGUC